UUAUUUGGAUAUGAACCAAAGAUCAACUAUUAAAACAUUUUUAAGUCUGGAUCCAGACUUAAAAAUGUUUUAAUAGUUGAUCUUUGGUUCAUAUCCAAAUAAA
Molecule: non-coding RNA, 103 nt
Organism: Paramuricea clavata
Lineage: Eukaryota; Metazoa; Cnidaria; Anthozoa; Malacalcyonacea; Plexauridae
Source: the annotation of a GenBank genome assembly